GUAUGGAGCAAGCGUUAUCCGGAUUCACUGGGCGUAAAGGGAGCGCAGGCGGCACGGCAAGUCCGGUGUGAAAGCCCGGGGCCCAACCCCGGGACUGCACUGGAAACUGCCGGGCUGGAGUGCCGGAGGGGUAAGCGGAAUUCCUGGUGUAGCGGUGAAAUGCGCAGAUAUCAGGAGGAACACCAGUGGCGGAGGCGGCUUACUGGACGGUCACUGACGCUGAGGCUCGAAAGCGUGGGGAGCAA
RNAcentral lists this ribosomal RNA (245 nucleotides) under uncultured bacterium. RNAcentral's name for it is "partial 16S ribosomal RNA". It matches the Rfam family "Bacterial small subunit ribosomal RNA", at positions 527 to 771 of the family's 1533-position model. The record is from RNAcentral.